CAUCUAUCCCAGACGUAUUAACUUUCCAAGGUGGAAACCGCCACGGUAAUGAGUUGUCCCCGUUGAGCAGUUUUUGUGGCCAUCCAGGUAAGCGGGAGCACUCGGUCAGGGUAUUUUGGAUGAACUUGUCCUCUUGAGCUGGAGGUGAUGAAGGCAGACUUUGGAAGGGGGGUCAGAGCAGCAGUUCAUAGUGAUGAGGGCAGCAAAAGGAAAGAAGCACCCGUGGGUCUGUGACGGGAGCUCGGCCUUGUCCCUGAUGCCAAGCAAUGCCGGUUUAAUGAUGAGGCCAUGGUUUGAGAAAAAGGAAAAGCUUGUUUUAUUGCUUUGCUAGCAAAGGAGAAUCACAGGGGACUCCUGUCCCUGAGGCUGUGAUUGUGCCCAUUGGGAGGAAUGGGGGAUUUUAAAGGAAGUCUUCCAGGGUUGCAUUCCAGGUGUGCUCUGGUAAGGGGUCCCAGGGCACCCUGAUGGGGUGUUGGGAUUCACAUGUUAAUUUGGGAGAUAUUCACUUCCUAGAUCCUCUGGCAGACAUCUUCCUGUGCAGCACUAAUAAGUCUCCAUCAUCUUGUUCCCUGCCCCCAGGUUGGUGGGGGGGAGAGGGAGAAAAGGAAAAGGAAAACGUGUCCCUUUUGAAAAUAAGCCCCAGAUGGCCAGUGCAGUGGUGCACUCCUGUAAUCCCAGAGGCUCCGGAGGCUGAGGCAGGAGGAUUGCAAGUGCAAAGCCAGCCUCACAAAAGUGAGGCCCUAAGCAACUCGGAGACUCUGUCUCUAAAUAAAACAAAAAACAGAGCUGGGGACGGGGCUCAGUGGUCGAGGGCCUCUGGGUUCAAACCCCAAUACCAGAAAAAGAAAAAGAAAAAUCCUCAGAGCUAUAUUCAAAAGGUGAAGUGGGCCCCUGUUGCAGGUCUCAGGUUGAGGCAGAACAUACUUGUGACUGGCAGAGCUUUUUGUGAUAUUUAUCGGGCACUCCUGUGUAAAAACUCUUUCUUUAUGGCCUGACAGUUUUUACUGACUUUCAGGAAGACUGACACAAAUGUGCAUCUCAGGUAGAAGGGCCACUGUCUUGUCUUGUAAAUGUCCAUGUAUCGCUGCAUUUUGGUCAAACUCCCUUGCCAAGUGUUGGAGUCCAAAUUGGUCAAAAUGGACCCUUUUUCUGUCUCCUGUUAGAGUCAGCUGAGAUUUGUCAGGGAUCACUCUUGAGAACUUUUUAUAACAACAACAACAAAAAUCUAUCUUCUGAACACAACUUAAAGUGUUUCAUUUCUGAAUUUGAUCUUUGCCCCCUUUAAAAUAUCACUGCACCAAGGUCUCCACGUGUUCUCUCCUGAGUCCAUCUGAACAUCAGUCCACGACCCAACGCUACACCAGAAACAUGAUCAGAGAGGCUGAGGGAGCUCUUCCCUCCUGUGGAUAAGGUGGCAGAACGUUUUCACGUCCACAUUGUCACCCUUUGAACAAUUUAGUCUCUCCUUACCACCUUCCAAAAAUACACUUGAAUUCCCAUCCCAGUGUAAAGAGUCACACAAAAUUUCAUAUAUGACAAUAAGUCAACAAGACAACAGGUGACCUUUAUCCAGGUAUAAAACAUUCAGUGAUGUGAAUAAAUGCAAAUCAAAUUUGUUAUUUUUGUAGAAACCUGAAGGAGACUGACGCUACAGAGAAUAUUCUUUUGGAGAAUACCAACUUGGAAAAGUGCUCUCCCGAGGUUUGCAUUUUAAAAUCCUCGUGUACUUGAACAUGAAUGCAUCUAGUAUACAAAGAAGCCACUAGUAGUUAGUAUCACAAUUACACAGACGUCCUACUCACUCAGGUUGGCUUUUUUUUUCUUUUUUCUUUCUUUCUUUCUUUCUUUUUUUUGGUUGUCAGUGGGCCUUGUAUUUUACUUAUUUCUAUGUGGCGCUGAGGAUUGAACCCAGGGCCUAGCACAUGCUAGGCGAGCACUCCACUGCUGAGCCACAACCCCAGCCCUCAGUUUAACUUUUAAAGUGAAUUUAGAAUCCAUAGUCUAAGGUGACAAUAAUCUCAGGUCUGCUGCAUGGGUUAGCAGUCCUAGCGAAAAACAAAAGAGAGACUUCAAUCUCUUACGCAUUUAGGAAAGACUGUUAGUGAUCAGAAAUAGACUUAGUGAAAGCAAACAGAUGACAGGUCUUCAAAGGGCGGUGUGGCCCUUCCAUGAUAGAUGCUAUACAUAAAAGAGAGCACUUAUUGGUUAUCUUGCAGGUAAACUCAUAUAGACAUUCAUUUAGCAAACUUUUGCAUAACAUCUAGACAAAGCUUAUACAAAACUAGUUUUCAGAUGUAGACAUCUAAUUACAAAUAUUUAGGGUGUCAACUAUAUUGUUAUAGCUUAAAUAACAGUUCUUCUUUUAACCAGUUAAGAAACCAUUUAAAAGGUUUAAAAACAAGUAGAACCCUAAUUCCUUUAAGAUUAGUUUCUCUGCUAGGUGUGGUCACACACACCUGUAAUCCCAGUGGCUUGGGAGGCUGAGGCAGGAGGAUGGCAAGUUCAAAGCCAGCCUCACCAAUGUUGUGAGGCCGUAGGCAAUGUAACGAAUGAGACCUUGUCUCAAAAUAAAAAAUAAAAAGGGAUGGAGAUUUGGUCAAUGGUUAAGUGCCCCCGGGACCAAAAAACAAAACAAAACAAAAAACCAGACUUAGCUCCCUAAGUAUAAGACCUAACAGACGCAAGAAAAUUAUCUUAUUUUUUUUUUUUCUUUUUCUUACCAGGGGUUGAACCCGGGGACGCCGACUCUCCCUUGGUUGUCUCUCAACCAGUUUAGCAGCACCUCACACCCUCAGCACAGAAGUGGGGUUGCUUGGAAAGCCAGGCCUGCCCAAGGGAGCUGGAGAGACGGUUACUCCUGGGUCCCACCUAGGGUGCCAGAUUAGUUCCCAAAAGCUCAGUUCUUGUCCCUGAUGCCAAUACAAUAAUGAGGACACUGCAUUUAGAAAAAGGAAAAAGAAGCUUUAUUGCUUUGCUAAUGGAGGAGAAGUACAGGGACUCCUGUCCCAGAGGCUGUGAUUCUGCCAGUCAAGGGUGGGGGGUUAAAGAGGUGACUCAAAGGCUACAUUCCACUGUUCUGUGGGGGAUGGUAAUUCACAUGUUAAUUUAGGAGAUGAUCAUUUCUGAGAUCUGGCGCCAACCUAGUAUCUGAAUUGCUUCCUUUGUCUGGUGUGUGCUGAAGGACAGAUAACUCUGCCCAGGAUGGGGAAGAAAGGUAACCCUGUUUAACCCAAGAUUAGGGAGAGACGGAGAUAGAGAGGAGAUGAUAGAGGAAGAGAAAGAAUAUGUCUAUCUAAGAAUAAGUCGCAGAACCAACCUGGGUGCCCUUCAACAGAUGAAUGAAUAAAGAAAAUGUGGUACAUAUACACAAUGGAAUAUUACUCAGCCUUAAAGAAGAAUG
Molecule: long non-coding RNA, 3400 nt
Filed under: Marmota monax (woodchuck)
Lineage: Eukaryota; Metazoa; Chordata; Mammalia; Rodentia; Sciuridae
Source: RNAcentral